Molecule: small nucleolar RNA, 107 nt
Organism: Brassica oleracea var. oleracea
Lineage: Eukaryota; Viridiplantae; Streptophyta; Magnoliopsida; Brassicales; Brassicaceae
Rfam family: Plant small nucleolar RNA R71
About the family: R71 is a member of the C/D box family of snoRNAs containing the C (UGAUGA) and D (CUGA) box motifs. Multiple nearly identical copies of this snoRNA have been identified in Arabidopsis, and it is thought to function as a 2'-O-ribose methylation guide for 18S ribosomal RNA.
Source: Rfam
AAACCAUGGUGAGGGCAUUGAGCUUGGUAGCCCUUGAAUCUCUCCCAGGCUUCACUGAAUCCUUCCAAGCCCUUCUGUUGAAAGCUGGAGAUCUCAUUUCUCAGCUU